AGGUGCCUAAGUACACUUUUCAUUGUAAGAACAUCAAUUUUACAUCAGAGAGACUGAAGAUAAGGAAAUAACGCAAAGCGCCCGUCACCGUGUCACCAAGGCAAACAGCGCAAGGCCGAAUUGGUAUCACUAUUUGAGUGAGACGGAAAUGGCAGGGAGAAUCUUGCCAAUCUAAAAUCCAGCAGUUUGUUGUUGCCAAGAGCACAUCAUGAAAUUCCGUCCGAAUGAACGCUUCAUGUCCACGUCUGACCAACUUUACCUUGGUCCCAAGAGGCCUCCCUGCUUGAGCUGAACUGUCCGUCCAACGAAAAGAGUCUCGGAGAUGGUGACAUUCUGUGAAUGAGGAGGAAUGAACAAUAUCUUACAUGAACGCUAUGGUUCUUCCCUGUUUGGUCCAACAUGAUGGA
This is a long non-coding RNA of Tigriopus californicus, 407 nucleotides long. RefSeq lists it as uncharacterized. The transcript has 3 exons. The record is from RefSeq and is a predicted model, not a curated record. NCBI's taxonomy places the organism in Eukaryota, Metazoa, Arthropoda, Copepoda, Harpacticoida, Harpacticidae.